Molecule: long non-coding RNA, 226 nt
Filed under: Hordeum vulgare
Lineage: Eukaryota; Viridiplantae; Streptophyta; Magnoliopsida; Poales; Poaceae
Description: long non-coding RNA (HVUL_LNC015554)
Source: RNAcentral
ACUUCACCAGCGUCAAGCUGAUGUUUAGCAAUCAUGGACCAAGUUUAUCUUUCGUCAAUUGCACAAUUUACGUGCUAAUAAUACUCAUUUUCGUACAGUUUGUGAUCGGAUCGGAUUCGAGGUGUAUUUAUAGUGAUCACAUAAAUGGAAAGCUACAUGAAGAUACAUGAGACAAGAGGUUAACACUCUUCUAUGUGUUACCCUCUAUUAUUAGAUUGUAUUGUUG